CCCUGAAGGCGCGCAGAUGUCAUCGCCCCCGGUUGUCAAGGUGUCUGGAUCACUCGGGAACCGCGGAACUGUCCAUCGCCCCCGGUUGUCAAGAUGCGUGGAGAGGGGAAGACCGCUACAGGGGAACAGCUCACUCUCCAUAUCGUACCACCCUGGCUUGCAUAUCACGUACACAGCUGGGACGCAACAUCCAUGAAUGACCCUGACCACUGGAGGGCCUCGAUGUUCCAGUGUAUGAGGUGGUCCAUGGUGAUAAGGAUCUGAGGGACUGGUGAGAAAGCCGAUGUUUAUUACUCUUCCCAAAUUGCCCUUGAACUGACCAGGAAACUGAACUGGAAUAGUUGUAUACACAAGUGAAGUCAAAUCAUGUUAUUGUCAUGUGUAAACUAAGGUAACUCCAUUAUGGGCACUAGAUCCCCAACACCGAGGACACCUUCAAAGAGAGAUGCCUCAGAAAGGUGGCAUCCAUCUUUAAGGACACGCUUCACCCAGGACAUGCCCUCUUCUCAUUGCUACCAUCAGGGAGGAGGUACAGGAGUCUGAAGGCACACACUCAACGAUUCAGGAACGACUUCUUCCCCUCUGCCAUCAGAUUUCUGAAUGGAUAUUGAACUCAUGCGCUAUGCAAAAGUCUCAGGCACAUAUAUAGCUCGGGUGUCUAAGACUUUUGCACAGUAGUGUAGUAAUUUUAUGUAUUGCACUGUACUGCUGCCAUAGAAAAACAAGUUUCAUAACACAUGUGAGUGAUGAUAAACCUGAUUCUGAUAUGGGUCUCUAUUAUGGAUUGAGAGUGGGAAGGGGGCAGGGAGAGAGGAAUCAUGGUUGAGAAAAGGGGAAGGGAGAGGGGAGGGAGCGGGAAGCACCAGAGAGACAUUCUGUAAGGAUCAAUUAACCAAUUGGAAUCAAAUGACCUUGCCUGGUGUCUCAGGUCUGGGUGUAUCUGCACCACAUCCUGCCCCUGGCAUUCCUUCUCUGCCACUCGUCCCACACCCCACCCGUGGUGCUACUCCCUCACCAUUCCCAACAUCCGUUACUCCUGCCAGAGUUACAAACUCGAUCUCCACUCCACAUUGACAAUUACAAUACUGCGCAGAUGUCUUAGG
Molecule: long non-coding RNA, 1103 nt
Organism: Mobula hypostoma (lesser devil ray)
Lineage: Eukaryota; Metazoa; Chordata; Chondrichthyes; Myliobatiformes; Myliobatidae
Exons: 3
Source: RefSeq, a predicted model, not a curated record